Molecule: ribosomal RNA, 484 nt
Filed under: uncultured bacterium
Lineage: Bacteria
Description: partial 16S ribosomal RNA
Rfam family: Bacterial small subunit ribosomal RNA
Source: RNAcentral
AUUGAACGCUGGCGGCAUGCUUUACACAUGCAAGUCGAACGGCAGCGCGGGCUUCGGCCUGGCGGCGAGUGGCGAACGGGUGAGUAAUACAUCGGAACGUGCCCAGUAGUGGGGGAUAGCUCGGCGAAAGCCGGAUUAAUACCGCAUACGACCCGAGGGUGAAAGCGGGGGAUCUUCGGACCUCGCGCUAUUGGAGCGGCCGAUGGCAGAUUAGCUAGUUGGUGGGGUAAAGGCCUACCAAGGCGACGAUCUGUAGCUGGUCUGAGAGGACGACCAGCCACACUGGGACUGAGACACGGCCCAGACUCCUACGGGAGGCAGCAGUGGGGAAUUUUGGACAAUGGGCGAAAGCCUGAUCCAGCAAUGCCGCGUGUGUGAUGAAGGCCUUCGGGUUGUAAAGCACUUUUGGCGGGAACGAAAAGGACUGUGCCAAUACCACGGUUCGAUGACGGUACCCGCAGAAUAAGCACCGGCUAACUACGUG